This 460-nucleotide ribosomal RNA is filed under the name uncultured bacterium. Its description in RNAcentral is "partial 16S ribosomal RNA". It matches the Rfam family "Bacterial small subunit ribosomal RNA", at positions 338 to 795 of the family's 1533-position model. The record is from RNAcentral.
CCUACGGGUGGCAGCAGUGAGGAAUAUUGGUCAAUGGGCGGAAGCCUGAACCAGCCAAGUCGCGUGAGGGAUUAAGGCCCUGCGGGUCGUGAACCUCUUUUGCCGGGGAGCAGAGGUCCGGACGUGUCCGGGCCGGGAGAGUACCCGGAGAAAAAGCAUCGGCUAACUCCGUGCCAGCAGCCGCGGUAAUACGGAGGAUGCGAGCGUUAUCCGGAUUUAUUGGGUUUAAAGGGUGCGCAGGCGGAGGUGCAAGUCAGCGGUCAAAUUGCGGGGCUCAACCCCGUACUGCCGUUGAAACUGCAUCCCUUGAGUGCGCGAGAAGUAUGCGGAAUGCGUGGUGUAGCGGUGAAAUGCAUAGAUAUCACGCAGAACUCCGAUUGCGAAGGCAGCAUACCGGCGCGCAACUGACGCUCAUGCACGAAAGCGUGGGUAUCGAACAGGAUUAGAUACCCUUGUAGUC